RNAcentral lists this ribosomal RNA (1432 nucleotides) under metagenome. RNAcentral describes it as "bacterial SSU rRNA". It matches the Rfam family "Archaeal small subunit ribosomal RNA". The record is from RNAcentral.
UGGUUGAUCCUGCCAGCGGCCACCGCUAUUGGGUUUCGCUUAAGCCAUGCGAGUCGAGAGGGUUCGGCCCUCGGCAGACUGCUCAGUAACACGUGGAGAACUUGCCCUACGCUGGAGAAUAAUCUCGGGAAACUGAGGACAAUGCUCCAUAGCCUCGCCGUCCUGGAACGGUGGUGAGGUCAAAGCUCCGGCGGCGUAGGAUAGCUCUGCGGCCUAUCAGGUUGUAGCGAGGGUAACGUCCUCGCUAGCCUACGACGGGUAUGGGUGUUGGGAGACAUCGCCCAGAGAUGGAUUCUGAGACACGAAUCCAGGCCCUACGGGGCGCAGCAGGCGCGAAAACUGCACAAUGUGGGAAACCACGAUGCGGGAAACCCAAGUGCCAGCGCUAUGCGUUGGCUGUCCUCCAGUGUUCGUAACUGGGGAAGAAAGUGCUGGGUAAGACGGGUGCCAGCCGCCGCGGUAAUACCCGCAGCACAAGUGGUGGUCAUUAUUAUUGGGCCUAAAGCGUCCGUAGCUGGCUUGUUAGAUGCCUGGGUAAAUCGAUGCGCUCAACGUAUCGAACUCCGGGUAGACCGGCAAGCUUGGGACCGGGAGAGGCGUGAGCUACUCGAGGGGUAGGGGUAAAAUCCUGUAAUCCUUCGGGGAGGACCAGUGGCGAAGGCGUCACGCUAGAACGGCUCCGACAGUGAGGGACGAAGCCCUGGGGCGCAAACCGGAUUAGAUACCCGGGUAGUCCAGGGUGUAAACGCUGCAGACUUGGUGUCGGUGAUCCUACGAGGGUUGCCGGUGCCGUAGAGAAGUUGUUUAGUCUGCCGCCUGGGGAGUACGGUCGCAAGACUGAAACUUAAAGGAAUUGGCGGGGGAGCACCGCAACGCGUGGAGUGUGCGGUUUAAUUGGAUUCAACGCCGGAAAACUCACCUGGGGGGACUGCCGAAUGUGGCUCCGUCUGAUGGACGUUGCCGAAUACAGGUAGAGAGGUGGUGCAUGGCCGUCGUCAGCUCGUACCGUAAGGCGUUCUGUUAAGUCAGAUAACGAGCGAGACCUGCGCCGUCAUUUGCAACUCGGGAAUCCGUUCCCGGGGCACAAUGGCGGGACCGCUGGCGCGAAGUCAGAGGAAGGUGCAGGCAACGACAGGUCCGUAUGCCCCGAAUCUCCAGGGCUACACGCGCACUACAAAGGAUCGGACAAUGGGUCCCUACCCCGAGAGGGGACGGCAAUCUCGAAACCGAUUCGUAGUUCGGAUCGAGGCUGCAACUCGCCCUCGUGAAGCUGGAACGCGUAGUAAUCGCAGGUCAACAUCCUGCGGUGAAUAUGCCCCUGCUCCUUGCACACACCGCCCGUCAAACCAUGCGAGUGGGGUCGUAGUGAAGGCACGCUUCUUGGCGUGUUUGAACUUCGAUUCUGCAAGCGGGGUUAAGUCGUAACAAGGUA